This 775-nucleotide ribosomal RNA is filed under the name uncultured Neocallimastigales. RNAcentral's name for it is "partial large subunit ribosomal RNA". It matches the Rfam family "Eukaryotic large subunit ribosomal RNA", at positions 24 to 633 of the family's 3401-position model. The record is from RNAcentral. Lineage: Eukaryota; Fungi; Neocallimastigomycota; Neocallimastigomycetes; Neocallimastigales.
GUAGUCUCGCACAGAUGCAUAUCAAUAAGCGGAGGAAAAGAAACUAACAAGGAUUCCCCUAGUAACGGCGAGUGAAGCGGGAAGAGCUCAAAUUUGAAAUCUUAAAGGGUUUCCCUUUACGAAUUGUAGUUUAAAGAAGUGUUUUCUGUUGAGGUUUUGGUAAAAGUUCUUUGGAAUAGGACAUCAUAGAGGGUGAGAAUCCCGUAUUUGACCUUUACUUUCAACUUUGUGAUACACUUUCAAAGAGUCGGAUUGUUUGGGAAUGCAGUCCAAAAUGGGUGGUAAAUUUCAUCUAAAGCUAUAAUAUUGGCGAGAGACCGAUAGCGAACAAGUACCGUGAGGGAAAGAUGAAAAGAACUUUGAAAAGAGAGUUAAACAGUACGUGAAAUUGUCAAAAGGGAAGCGUUUGACACCAGUGUUGUUUUUCUGAAAAUCAAUUAAAGAACUGUUUAUGCUAAGCUGUUUAGACUUUAUCAGCUAACUGUUUAGUUUUGAGCUUUUCUUUAAUGCACUUUUCAGUUAACAAGUCAACAUCAAUUUCUUUUGCUGUAAAAAAGCUUGAGGAAGGUGGCUUGAGAUUCGUCUUAAGUGUUUAUAGCCUCUUGCCUAUGCAGUCGGAGAGAUUGAGGUCUGCAGCGUAGAUCCUUCGGGGCUAAAUGCAUUUGUGCUAAGUUAUAGCAUUUUAUAGACAACUUGUUGACUAUGAUUUGUCUUGUAGCUUACUCGCUUAUGUUAUUUUACCUACGCUUAGGAUGUUGAAGACUCUACAGAGAUA